GUGUCAGCCGCCGCGGUAAUACGUGGGGUGCAAGCGUUAUCCGGAUUUACUGGGCGUAAAGAGUUCGUAGGUGUUUGGGUACAUCUUGUUUCAAAGCCCGAGGCUCAACCUCGGAAAGGGAUGAGAUAUGGCCUGAAUAGAGUUUGCUAGGGGGUACUGGAACUUGUUGUGUAGCAGUGAAAUGCGUUGAUAUAACAAGGAACACCGAGAGCGAAGGCAGGUACCUGGGGCACAACUGACACUGAGGAACGAAAGCUAGGGGAGCGAAAGGGAUUAGAUACCCCCGUAGUCC
Molecule: ribosomal RNA, 292 nt
Filed under: uncultured bacterium
Lineage: Bacteria
Description: partial 16S ribosomal RNA
Rfam family: Bacterial small subunit ribosomal RNA
Source: RNAcentral